GAUGAACGCUGGCGGCGUGCCUAAUACAUGCAAGUCGAGCGAAUGGAUUGAGAGCUUGCUCUUAUGAAGUAAGCGGCGGACGGGUGAGUAACACGUGGGUAACCUGCCCAUAAGACUGGGAUAACUCCGGGAAACUGGGGCUAAUACCGGAUAACAUUUUGAACCGCAUGGUUCGAAAUUGAAAGGCGGCUUCGGCUGUCACUUAUGGAUGGACCCGCGUCGCAUUAGCUAGUUGGUGAGGUAACGGCUCACCAAGGCAACGAUGCGUAGCCGACCUGAGAGGGUGAUCGGCCACACUGGGACUGAGACACGGCCCAGACUCCUACGGGAGGCAGCAGUAGGGAAUCUUCCGCAAUGGACGAAAGUCUGACGGAGCAACGCCGCGUGAGUGAUGAAGGCUUUCGGGUCGUAAAACUCUGUUGUUAGGGAAGAACAAGUGCUAGUUGAAUAAGCUGGCACCUUGACGGUACCUAACCAGAAAGCCACGGCUAACUACGUGCCAGCCGCCGCUGUAA
Molecule: ribosomal RNA, 515 nt
Filed under: uncultured bacterium
Lineage: Bacteria
Description: partial 16S ribosomal RNA
Rfam family: Bacterial small subunit ribosomal RNA
Source: RNAcentral